RNAcentral lists this ribosomal RNA (524 nucleotides) under uncultured bacterium. RNAcentral describes it as "partial 16S ribosomal RNA". It matches the Rfam family "Bacterial small subunit ribosomal RNA", at positions 28 to 523 of the family's 1533-position model. The record is from RNAcentral.
GACGAACGCUGGCGGCGUGCCUAAUACAUGCAAGUCGAACGCUUCUUUUUCCACCGGAGCUUGCUCCACCGGAAAAAGAGGAGUGGCGAACGGGUGAGUAACACGUGGGUAACCUGCCCAUCAGAAGGGGAUAACACUUGGAAACAGGUGCUAAUACCGUAUAACAAUCAAAACCGCAUGGCUUUGAUUUGAAAGGCGCUUUCGGGUGUCGCUGAUGGAUGGACCCGCGGUGCAUUAGCUAGUUGGUGAGGUAACGGCUCACCAAGGCCACGAUGCAUAGCCGACCUGAGAGGGUGGUCGGCCACAUUGGGACUGAGAAACGGCCCAAACUCCUACGGGAGGCAGCAGUAGGGAAUCGUCGGCAAUGGACGAAAGUCUGACCGAGCAACGCCGCGUGAGUGAAGAAGGUUUUCGGAUCGUAAAACUCUGUUGUUAGAGAAGAACAAGGAUGAGAGUAACUGUUCAUCCCUUGACGGUAUCUAACCAGAAAGCCACGGCUAACUACGUGCCAGCCGCCGCGGUAA